GUCACCAGAAGACCCUCGAUAUUCACCUCCCUGUGAAAUUAAUCAUAAUGUACUUAAUUUGUAGCCUAACAAACUACAUGAUUCCCCGACGAGUCGUAGUGGGAGGACUGCAAAACAUGUCACGUGACUCCAAAUUUACUUCGAUAAAAUGGUUAUAUCAAUAUUUGUGCAUAAAAGCGUUUCCGCCGACAUUUCUCCCAUAAUACAUUUUAACGACACAAAAAGGUUCCACCUUGUCUAGCGUAUUUAGUUUAGUUUACAUUUGGACAGUUUACCGAAACUUCCUGUUUCCAUCACAGCUCUCGUGAAUGUGUUUUUAUACCGUAUGGCGUCAGAAAAAGAAUCGCGAUGGGAACCUGGUUUGUGUUGCAAUUUCACGGGGGCGAGCACACAUGAGUCUCACGAACGCGCAGGGGAUUACAGGAAAGUUUGAGUUGUGCGGAUACACGUCAGUUUUUUUUUGUUCGUUGUUGGUUUACUAAAGAUAGUUUGCUUUAUCGACUGUAUUUUUGUACUUGUUGUUAUUUUUGUAAGGAGAAAAGUGGUGUGCCUGAAGGUGACCAGCAAGCAAAUAUUUCUCAGCAGAUCCAGCUAGCUAAUCUACUUCCUCAGGAAACUGAUGUCAUUGCUUUGUACGGGACACCCCAGCAGGUCCUCCAGCAGACGCUGCCCCUUCUGUCUUCCAGAUGCUGCUGCCCACCAUCAGACAAGUUAGAAAGCAAGGGCUGGAGGGGCACCAAAAUGGCUGAAAGAUGCCCCACACCACCCGUGCUAUAACACCUCAUUGAACUGCAGUUCUGGCUGAUGACCUGUCUCCAUAGCUGAUAGAAACUAAGAAGGAAUAUCGUCCCCAAUGAUACCAAUAUUUCUAACUGUACUGAUGAGGAAGAGGGCAGACUUAUGUUGUCGCUGAAUUGCUUGAAGUGUUCAGUCAAAAUUACAGUGCCACUUUGAUGUUUUCAAAAAUAACAAUCCAGAAAUGUUCUUGCUCUUCAAUGAGGUUCUGCCAAUCAUAUGUUGGAAACCUACAGUAGUAACUUUUUUGUUGAACACCAGUGAUUCUAAGAAUAACUGUUACUUGUAGGACAAUGUCUCCAUCACAGGUCACCAAGGGUACAGUACGGUGUAUAUCCUUAAUAAAACAAUUUGAUGGUUAAUUUUGCAUGCCUCAUUUUCCAGUCGACAUGGAACAAAUCAAUCUGAAAUAUAGUUUUACCUACAGUAUGACUUGCAUAACCAACUCAGUGCCCUCGCUGAGAUUAAAAGGUUGGACAGCUCUAUCCCUGGCCUAGUCAUACUAAAGACUAAAAAUGGGACCCGAUGCAUCUCUGCUUGGCACUCUAGAUGGAUAGAUAAAUAGAUUGGGGAUAAGGCCAUGCGAAAGACUAGCAUCUUGUCCAGGGGAUGUACCCCUAGUCGUAGACUGUUCUCUAUGCUACAGCAUGGCAAGCGGUACCGGAGUGCCAAGUCUAUGUCCAAGAGGAUUCUAAACAGCUUCUACCCCCAAGCCAUAAGACUACUGAACAUCUAAUCAAAUGGCUACCCAGACUACUUGCAUUGCCUCUCCCCCCCUUUAUUAUCGAUGCAUAAGUUACUUUAACUCUACCCUCGUAUAGAUUAUCUCAACUAACUGGUGUCCCCACUCAUUGACUCUGUACCGGUACCACCUGUAUAUAGCCUCACUAUUGUUAUUUUGCUGCUGCUCUUUAAUUAUUUGUUACUUUAUUUCUUAUUUUUGUAGGUCUUUUUCUUAACUGCAUUGUUGGUUAGGGGCUUGUAAGUACGCAUUUCUCUGUAAGGUCGACACCUGUUGUAUUCGGUGCAUGUGACAAAUACAUUUUGAUUUGAUGGUGCCUUGACAUAUGACAACCGCAGUUUUUGUGAAUACUGUCCCACCAAGGACUAACUCAAAGACUAACGUUAAUGGCCAAAGGGGCCGUUCUCCCUCGCUCUCUGUCACUGUCAAAUAUAUAUAUAUUUUAUUUGUUUAGACCAGAAUAAUUCUUAGUAGGUUAUGUCUCUGUUCAUCUCUUAAAUGUGUUGACUUGCCUCACCAUGGCCAGCUAGCUAGCUAGCUAGCUAUUACCACAAGCCUGUCCUCCCCAAUUAAGGUGCCACCUGUGGUAACUACAUAUACUAGCCAUCAUAUUGCUUGUAGCAAGCACCAUGCCUGAGCUGUCUCCUCAUGAAUUUCUUGCUCACCGGCUGUCCUAGCCAGCAUAGCAAAGAUUAUCUACACUGAGUGUACAAACUAUUUGGAACACCUUCCUAAUAUUGAGUUGCACCCACUUUUGCCCUCAGAACGGCCUCAAAUCGUCAGGGCAUGGACGACAAGGAGUCGAAAGUGUACUACAAGGAUGCUGGCCCAUGUUGACUCCAAUGCUUCCCACAGUUGUCAAGUUGGCUGAAUAUACACUGCUCCAAAAAAUAAAGGGAACACUUAAACGACACAAUGUAACUCCAAGUCAAUCACACUUCUGUGAAAUCAAACUGUCCACUUAGGAAGCAACACUGAUUGACAAUACAUUUCACAUGCUGUUGUGCAAAUGGAAUAGACAACAGGUGGAAAUUAUAGGCAAUUAGCAAGACACCCCCAAUAAAGGAGUGGUUCUGCAGGUACGGACCACAGACCACUUCUCAGUUCCUAUGCUUCCUGGCUGAUGUUUUGGUCACUUUUGAAUGCUGGCGGUGCUUUCACUCUAGUGGUAGCAUGAGACGGAGUCUACAACCCACACAAGUGGCUCAGGU
RNAcentral lists this long non-coding RNA (2748 nucleotides) under Salmo salar (Atlantic salmon). Its description in RNAcentral is "lncRNA (ENSSSAG00000109180.1)". The record is from RNAcentral. Lineage: Eukaryota; Metazoa; Chordata; Actinopteri; Salmoniformes; Salmonidae.